GACGUACUCCCUCCGUCCGGAAAUACUUGUCAUCAAAAUAAAUAAAACAGGAUGUAUUUAGAUGUAUUUUAGUUCUAGAUACAUCCUUUUUUGUUCAUUUUGAUGACAAGUAUUUUCGGACGGAGGGAGUACCGU
Molecule: non-coding RNA, 135 nt
Organism: Triticum aestivum (bread wheat)
Lineage: Eukaryota; Viridiplantae; Streptophyta; Magnoliopsida; Poales; Poaceae
Source: Rfam